RNAcentral lists this ribosomal RNA (391 nucleotides) under uncultured bacterium. RNAcentral's name for it is "bacterial SSU rRNA". It matches the Rfam family "Bacterial small subunit ribosomal RNA", at positions 28 to 419 of the family's 1533-position model. The record is from RNAcentral.
GACGAACGCUGGCGGCGUGCUUAACACAUGCAAGUCGAGCGGUAAGGCCCUUUCGGGGGUACACGAGCGGCGAACGGGUGAGUAACACGUGGGUGACCUGCCCUCAGCUCUGGGAUAAGCCUGGGAAACCGGGUCUAAUACUGGAUAUGACUCCAUGACGCAUGUUGUGGGGUGGAAAGCCUUGUGCGGCUGAGGAUGGGCCCGCGGCCUAUCAGCUUGUUGGUGGGGUGANGGCCUACCAAGGCGACGACGGGUAGCCGGCCUGAGAGGGCGACCGGCCACACUGGGACUGAGACACGGCCCAGACUCCUACGGGAGGGCAGCAGUGGGGAAUAUUGGACAAUGGGGGAAACCCUGAUCCAGCGACGCCGCGUGGGUGAAGAAGGCCUGC